GAUGAACGCUGGCGGCGUGCCUAAUACAUGCAAGUCGAGCGAACAGACGAGGAGCUUGCUCCUCUGAUGUUAGCGGCGGACGGGUGAGUAACACGUGGAUAACCUACCUAUAAGACUUGGAUAACUUCGGGAAACCGGAGCUAAUACCGGAUAACAUGUUGAACCGCAUGGUUCAACAGUGAAAGACGGUCUUGCUGUCACUUAUAGAUGGAUCCGCGCCGCAUUAGCUAGUUGGUAAGGUAACGGCUUACCAAGGCAACGAUGCGUAGCCGACCUGAGAGGGUGAUCGGCCACACUGGAACUGAGACACGGUCCAGACUCCUACGGGAGGCAGCAGUAGGGAAUCUUCCGCAAUGGGCGAAAGCCUGACGGAGCAACGCCGCGUGAGUGAAGAAGGUCUUCGGAUCGUAAAACUCUGUUAUUAGGGAAGAACAAAUGUGUAAGUAACUAUGCACGUCUUGACGGUACCUAAUCAGAAAGCCACGGCUAACUACGUG
RNAcentral lists this ribosomal RNA (497 nucleotides) under uncultured bacterium. Its description in RNAcentral is "partial 16S ribosomal RNA". It matches the Rfam family "Bacterial small subunit ribosomal RNA", at positions 28 to 507 of the family's 1533-position model. The record is from RNAcentral.